RNAcentral lists this non-coding RNA (21 nucleotides) under Arabidopsis thaliana (thale cress). Lineage: Eukaryota; Viridiplantae; Streptophyta; Magnoliopsida; Brassicales; Brassicaceae. The record is from RNAcentral.
GGAGUCUGACAUGUGUGCGAG